This 1241-nucleotide ribosomal RNA is filed under the name Locris ochroptera. Its description in RNAcentral is "SSU rRNA". It matches the Rfam family "Eukaryotic small subunit ribosomal RNA", at positions 627 to 1790 of the family's 1831-position model. Lineage: Eukaryota; Metazoa; Arthropoda; Insecta; Hemiptera; Cercopidae. The record is from RNAcentral.
CUCGUAGUUGGACCUGUGUUCCACGCUGUCGGUUCGCCGCCCGUCGGUGUUAACUGGCAUGUCCUGUGGAACGUCCUGCCGGUGGCGGUCCGGGCGUUAGGCUUGCGUAAAGGCUCACGCCUGAAGCAGGUCGAGCAGUUCCGGCCGCCGGUCCAAUCCCGCCACGGUGCUCUUCACCGAGUGUCGAGGUGGGCCGGCACGUUUACUUUGAACAAAUUAGAGUGCUUAAAGCAGGCUGGUGUCCGCCUGAAUACUGUGUGCAUGGAAUAAUAGAAUAGGACCUCGGUUCUAUUUUGUUGGUUUUCGGAACCCGAGGUAAUGAUUAAUAGGGACAGGCGGGGGCAUUCGUAUUGCGACGUUAGAGGUGAAAUUCUUGGAUCGUCGCAAGACGAACCUAAGCGAAAGCAUUUGCCAAGUAUGUUCUCGUUAAUCAAGAACGAAAGUUAGAGGUUCGAAGGCGAUCAGAUACCGCCCUAGUUCUAACCAUAAACGAUGCCAGCCAGCGAUCCGCCGAAGUUCCUCCGAUGACUCGGCGGGCAGCUUCCGGGAAACCAAAGCUUUUGGGUUCCGGGGGAAGUAUGGUUGCAAAGCUGAAACUUAAAGGAAUUGACGGAAGGGCACCACCAGGAGUGGAGCCUGCGGCUUAAUUUGACUCAACACGGGAAACCUCACCAGGCCCGGACACCGGAAGGAUUGACAGAUUGAGAGCUCUUUCUUGAUUCGGUGGGUGGUGGUGCAUGGCCGUUCUUAGUUGGUGGAGCGAUUUGUCUGGUUAAUUCCGAUAACGAACGAGACUCUAGCCUGCUAACUAGGCGAUUUCCGGUACCCACAAUAGUGUUACCGGCGAUUCAAUUUCUUCUUAGAGGGACAGGCGGCUCCUAGCCGCACGAGACUGAGCAAUAACAGGUCUGUGAUGCCCUUAGAUGUCCUGGGCCGCACGCGCGCUACACUGAAGGAAUCAGCGUGUCUUCCCUGGCCGACAGGCCCGGGUAACCCGUUGAACCUCCUUCGUGCUAGGGAUUGGGGCUUGCAAUUGUUCCCCAUGAACGAGGAAUUCCCAGUAAGCGCGAGUCAUAAGCUCGCGUUGAUUACGUCCCUGCCCUUUGUACACACCGCCCGUCGCUACUACCGAUUGAAUGAUUUAGUGAGGUCUUCGGACUGGUGCGCGGCGAUCGGUUCUGCCGGUCGCCGAUGUUGCCGGGAAGAUGACCAAACUUGAUCAUUUAGAGGAAGUAAAAGUC